Molecule: long non-coding RNA, 719 nt
Filed under: Durio zibethinus
Lineage: Eukaryota; Viridiplantae; Streptophyta; Magnoliopsida; Malvales; Malvaceae
Description: long non-coding RNA (DZIB_LNC000369)
Source: RNAcentral
UUGAGGGGGCUUUUAAGAAGAGAAAUUCUUGCCACAAGCCCACAAGAAGACAUUAAAAUAUACUUGCUGUAACGGUUCUGAGAAAAAUGAAAAUUAUUUCCUAAUUUGAUUUAAAAGGUAAACUUGCCAACUUCAUUUAACACUAACCACAAAGGAGAUUCAAUGCUACCAAGCUUACCGCAUAAGGCUACAUAAUAUAUCAUGCAUAUUCAUAAUAAGCUCCCAGCAAAUUAGGGUAAAACAACUUAACAUUCAAUUCUUUAGCAUUUUACAGCCCUAGAUUUCACGGCAUGACCUACUAUUGUACGAAAUCCAGACAUUGGUCAGAAGAAAGCACGCAUCCACAUCACACACAGCAACUGAGCAGUAUAUAUUCCACGGUAUCCCAACAGCUUUCUAUUCUUUACAUAGGAUUUUUCUGCACAUGCCAACAACUAAAGGUCAGCUCAAAACAUAGAUCUAGGGAACUAAAGGAGAAGAAUGUAAGGGGGCGAGGGAGAUCGGUGCAAAGGGAUGGUACAAAUUGAGGGGGGAUUGUUCACUAAAAUAGUAAGGUUAAAGAAGAAACUUACGCCCACUAGUAAACAUAUAAUUAUAUAAAACAAGAAAAGAUUCCAACCUUAAUCAGUAUUGUGAGACUGAUCAUGCUCGAUAAAAUCUAACGCAUCUUCCUUGGAGACAACAUUAACACGGCUCACCCUGUUUUUAUGUGUCACACC